UUUUUACUCCUUUCAGGCUGGAUGAUAAUAUUUUUUUAAAAAUAAAAUAUAUAUAUGUCUGAGUCUGAUUUUGAACAUACUAUCGACCGAUCUUGCAAGGACACCAAAUAUCUUUAUUUUCACUAAUAUGGAAUGAUCUUCGUGGGCACCCAGGCCAAAAGUGAUACUUAGAUGAAUACUGCAAGUGUAAACAACUCAACUCUUCCAACAAGAAAUGAUAAUUAAUUCAAU
RNAcentral lists this long non-coding RNA (231 nucleotides) under Panax ginseng (ginseng). RNAcentral's name for it is "long non-coding RNA (PGIN_LNC016371)". The record is from RNAcentral. Lineage: Eukaryota; Viridiplantae; Streptophyta; Magnoliopsida; Apiales; Araliaceae.